CCUACGGGAGGCAGCAGUGAGGAAUAUUGGUCAAUGGACGCAAGUCUGAACCAGCCAUGCCGCGUGCAGGAAGACGGCUCUAUGAGUUGUAAUCUGCUUUUGUACGAGGGUAAAUCCCGAUACGUGUAUCGGGUUGAAAGUAUCGUACGAAUAAGGAUCGGCUAACUCCGUGCCAGCAGCCGCGGUAAUACGGAGGAUUCAAGCGUUAUCCGGAUUUAUUGGGUUUAAAGGGUGCGUAGGCGGUUCGAUAAGUUAGAGGUGAAAUCCCGGGGCUCAACUCCGGCACUGCCUCUGAUACGGUCGGGCUAGAGUUUAGUUGCGGUAGGCGGAAUGUAUGGUGUAGCGGUGAAAUGCAUAGAGAUCAUACAGAACACCGAUUGCGAAGGCAGCUUACCAAACUACGACUGACGUUGAGGCACGAAAGCGUGGGGAGCGAACAGGAUUAGAUACCCCAGUAGUC
RNAcentral lists this ribosomal RNA (460 nucleotides) under uncultured bacterium. RNAcentral describes it as "partial 16S ribosomal RNA". It matches the Rfam family "Bacterial small subunit ribosomal RNA", at positions 338 to 795 of the family's 1533-position model. The record is from RNAcentral.